CCUCCAUGAUCUGGGGGCAGAUCAGAUGGACGUGGCAGUCGAUGGCGCCUGCGGUGACGAUGCGGCCGUUGCCGGCGAUGACCUCGGUCGACGGGCCGACCACCAGGUCCGGAUGCACACCCGACAUGAUGUCCGGAUUACCGGCCUUGCCGAUCGCGGUGAUGCGACCGUCGCGAAUCCCGAUGUCGGCCUUGAUGACUCCCCAAUGGUCGAGAAUCACCGCCCCGGUGAUCACGGUGUCGGGCGCGCCGUCGGCGCGGGUGGCGCGUGACUGCCCCAUCGACUCGCGCAG
Molecule: small RNA, 292 nt
Organism: Mycobacterium sp. NAZ190054
Lineage: Bacteria; Bacillati; Actinomycetota; Actinomycetes; Mycobacteriales; Mycobacteriaceae
Rfam family: 5' ureB small RNA
Source: Rfam